RNAcentral lists this ribosomal RNA (428 nucleotides) under uncultured bacterium. Its description in RNAcentral is "partial 16S ribosomal RNA". It matches the Rfam family "Bacterial small subunit ribosomal RNA", at positions 354 to 796 of the family's 1533-position model. The record is from RNAcentral.
GUGGGGAAUAUUGGGCAAUGGGCGCAAGCCUGACCCAGCAACGCCGCGUGAAGGAAGAAGGCUUUCGGGUUGUAAACUUCUUUUACCAGGGACGAAACAAAUGACGGUACCUGGUGAAUAAGCCACGGCUAACUACGUGCCAGCAGCCGCGGUAAUACGUAGGUGGCGAGCGUUAUCCGGAUUUAUUGGGUGUAAAGGGCGUGUAGGCGGGACAGCAAGUCAGAUGUGAAAACCAGAGGCUCAACCUCUGGCCUGCAUUUGAAACUGUUGUUCUUGAGUGUCGGAGAGGUAAUCGGAAUUCCGUGUGUAGCGGUGAAAUGCGUAGAUAUCAGGAAGAACACCGGUGGCGAAGGCGGCUUGCUGGACAGUAACUGACGUUGAGGCUCGAAAGCGUGGGGAGCAAACAGGAUUAGAUACCCCGGUAGUCC